Orbicella faveolata is the source of this 1314-nucleotide long non-coding RNA. The record is from RefSeq and is a predicted model, not a curated record. Lineage: Eukaryota; Metazoa; Cnidaria; Anthozoa; Scleractinia; Merulinidae.
CAAACUGUGACUGAGCUCCUUUCAUGUACAUUGCUCAUGAGAGUCGUUGAAUUAUUUCAAAAUGAUCGUUUGCAUGGAACAAUCUAUGUAAUGCAUUAGCUUUAGAAAGAUGAGGCAGAAAAUCCCCAGAGAAACCUUCUCAAUCUGAAAAUAAUGGGCAAUAACAUAUCACAAUCUCGCAUUUCUAACUCUCCAGGAUUACCAGAAGCAAAUUAGGCAGAUAAUUUUUUUGGGGAAAAAAAAGCAUUAGUGUACAUACUAACAUAUACUAAUUAUGAUGUCACUGUUCUUUCCGCAGACGUCUUAACUGAUGAGGCGUAGUACAUCAUUGCAACUUGAUAAAGGCUGUUUUCAACCAUGGAAACAAUCUAGCAGCAAGUGUCUGGCUGCUGGAUGCAAGUGAUGCUUAACACGUUUCUGCCCGAAGUCAGGAUUGACUGGGAGACAGGACUUACACCCGUUUGAACCACGAGAAAGUCAUUCAUCGAAGAUUUAGUUAGAGGUAGAAUACAGAACUUAAUAAGACGUUGCUUGAAGAUUAUUUUUAAAAAAUCGGAGCUAGAAAUUUCUGUUCUGUUCAAAAGGUCAAUUAAUUUCAUAAGUCAAUCAGCAUCUUUUUUACCAUCUUGAGUCGUCUGGGAAGCGACAAAUUUUCGAGCAGUAUUUAUAAAACGAAGACGGCAAGACUGAUCCGUGCGGUAGUGAGAGAAGGGUGCAAAAGGUUAAAGCAAGAAGAUAUGGACUAGUGCAAAGUAGAAGCUAUAAUUUUGUAACAAAGGUUUGCCAAGUUUCUACCAACUUGAGUACUUGAGUAAUAGUUUGUACUUUGUACCAGUCCAACUUUUUGCUUUCAUUUUUUUCGUCUUCCUUUUCACUGCGGUACGGAUCAUUAUUGUCGUAUAGGGCUAGAAAUAUCUUUUCUGCCAUGAUGACUUGUCUGAGAGUUCAAAAUUUCACAAAACAUUUAUUUUCAAAUCACUUUUGAAUUUAUCUGUGAUAUCAAGAAAUUUCCAGGCCAGUGUUAUGUCAAUUUUUUUACUGAAAGUUGUUUCCUUGUUAACAUCGGUUUGACCGUGUUACAUUUUCCCGCGAAAAGACUUACGAGCGCUUCAAAUACGCAUGCAUCAAUUUUUAAAAAAAAAACAUAUCAGAGUUCCUUCUCUCUUCAUGCACUCCUUUCGAAAAUUUUAAAAUUUUCCCGCCAAAAAACUUAGAAAAAUACGGGCGCUCAAAAUACGCAUGCGCCGUUUUAUAUUUUAAAUUUUUCCAGUUAGCAGUCUACAAAAUUGUCAACAAUAAAAUUUAUUUCUCAUG